GGGAGCGGGUUGCAGCCGGUGAUGGUGACCGGAGGCGGCCACUCAGGUGCGCGCCCCGCUGCUCCCGAGCCGCGGAUAACGAGCCGGCACGGGGAGCUGCUGAGAAGAGUUAGCGUUGGUAGUUAUAGCGAAGCCACAAUAACCUUGUUAAACGUUUGUUUACAGUGACUCGCUCUAAGCCUUCCGUGUAGAAGGAAGCGGAGUAUCUCUACUCUGGUUAGCGUUUAUAACUCCCCCGACCUCCCUUCCCGCCGCGCCCGCCUCAGGAGUUUCUAGACUGCAGCAAAAUGCAGAUGACUUGACAGUGAAAAUUUUUGUUGCCUCCAAAAGUAACGGUGUGUGAACUACAGUUUUUAUCAGUGCUGCGUGCUCUUACUUCAGCACAUUAUCCAUCUUAUGUGGAGCUCCAGGUGCUGAUCACAUCUGCUGAAGUUUCUCCUUCACAGAAGCAAUGCUGAAGAGUCAAACACAGCUGCCCGGAAAAUGGUAGAAUACAAAGGCUUAGACUGUGGUGCCUCCAUCCAAGUGCAGGCCCUGAUCUCGUGUUCCCGUGCUGGCAGAGCAUGACUCAUGGAUGGGCUCCUGUCAGGCUGGCCUGGAGUCCUUAACGGGCCUUCAAAAUGUACCAGCACAAAGUGCUCCAUUUGUAUUUUGCUUUGGGAUGAUGUUUUCUGGCUCAUGGCGUAGCUGCAGUCUGAUAAAGUGUCUAAGGCCUGCGAGAGGCAGGGUAAGGAUUUUCUUUGAGCUGCUUGCCAGUUCCCCUUCUCUCUGGCUUUGCAGCCUCCUGAUCUGAUACUCUGCCUGCAGUUAACCACUCCCUGAUGGAGUUUACUAAAAAAUACCCUCAUUAGUCUAAAGGAGUUUAAUAAUUUUUCCUUGGAUUAUUUUGAGAAACAGCUGUGCCACUGCACUUAGGUUGAAAGGAAUGCUAGGAUCCGUAUUGGGGGUAGUUAUGCACAGCAACACAUGAGGGGGAUAACUUCUUACUUGACCUAACUGUAGUCAGAGAAGAUAAUUUGAUCCACUCUGUAGGCUUAGAGAUCAUUAUCUAUGGAUGAAGAGACUCUCCCCUAAAUAUUAACAUAAGUUUGGGAUACAUUUAAAACACAUCUGAUGGAUAAAAUUCCGGAUAAAGAUCAUGAAAAAGGAAAACAGUUUUUAUUGACAAGACUGGUAUUAAAUAUGCCAGAGGAGGUGUUUUUUGUCCCACUCCAUCUCUAAAAACUUCUAAAAUGGGUUCAUUUAGAGUGAUUUCCUUUAUCAGCUGUGGUUGUUCUGAGUGCAGUCAGUGGCUCCUCUGAGCAGUUUGUCAUGGCAGGGUGCUGUUUCCUGACUGCCUGGAGCUUGCUUAGAAUCUGCAAGAUGAUUUGAAUGUGUUGAAUGUGAAUCCAGUAAAUAACUGUGUAUCAUUUCAGUUUUUGUCAUAAAUUAGAAGGGAAAUCUGAAGCAAUGCAUUUCUAAUACACAAAUAUAGUGAACAGUGCAUUGUGUGUUACAGCCGUACUUGCCGUUCCCCCU
Long non-coding RNA from Hirundo rustica (Barn swallow), 1518 nucleotides. RefSeq lists it as uncharacterized. The transcript is spliced from 3 exons. NCBI's taxonomy places the organism in Eukaryota, Metazoa, Chordata, Aves, Passeriformes, Hirundinidae. The record is from RefSeq and is a predicted model, not a curated record.